AAAAGGCUGAGAGGAGCUCCAGGCCGAGACUGAGUUACAAUGUGGCAAUAGUCUUGCUGCUAAAUUUGGAGAUGCAUUAGUGUGGUUUGUUUCUAUGAGAAUGCAUUUAAUGUUGUUGUGACUGUACUUUAAUUAUGUGUUAAAGGUAUUUUUAAUGAUGCAGUGAUAACUUGUCAGUCUGAUUUCCUGAUGUAGGGAAAAAAGUAUAAACGUAAAGCUACCAUUGCUAUAUCUUGUAGCCAAGUCUCAUGUGCCAACUAAGAGUGGCUGACACAAUCCAUUACCCUUUGUCACAUCUCAGCAAUUCUUCCCAAACUUUGCCCUGUCGGCUGUCUGCCCCAAGUUGGUUGGCUGAUUGAAGAAUGCUAGCUGGAAUGGUACAGCUGCUUUCUUACAGUGACAUUAAAGGGAGAUGACUACUCGUGUCCCUACUUGUGACUACAAAGUGUUCAUAGUGUUUUAUGGUAGGUUUGUAACAUGAUGUAGUUAGCUAUGUUUGCAGGGUGCUAUUACUUGAUCCUUAUCUUGAAAUCAGCCUGUUAUGAUCAAAUUAUAUACUUUUGAAAAACCUUUGAUUUACUUGUAUUUCCUAGAAUAUGUCGGGAUAAUAUUGUCCAGACUCUUCCUGCCUUGGGAAUGUUGUGGUCUUUGAAGAACUGUUUUUGUGGCAACUUUUGGCAGAUGACGAUGAAAAAUGGGAGAAAAAAAGCUGUGACUUUUUUAUGCUUGCUAGUAUCUCUCUCCAAGAACUGGAAAGAAAGAUCAGUAAGUAGAAGGUCAAAGGAAAGGUGGUUGACUGCCUGCAAGUACCUCAACAAUUGAGGAUUUGUAAUCUCUCAGUUUAAUGUAUACCAAAGAAUUCACAUAAGAAAACAUGCACAAAUGCCAGAGCCACAGAAAAAUCUUGAACCGACAUUUGUACUUUUUGGACACAAAAUCAAUAAGAAAACUUGCAGGAAGUUGGUAUUUGUUGUUUUAGUUCUCCUAAAGCUGGCUAUUUGAGGCUUUUUAGCUUUGUUUUGUGCAGGUGUGAAGUUUGGGCAUAUGUGCAGGAUUAUGACUGCACAUGUCUGACAGUUCUUAACUACUGAUACAGCCACUGAAAAUUUUAGUAAGCUGUUACAGCUUUCAGGAAUGCUAAGUUGUUACAAGUGUCAUGAAAGUAACCACCUGAAAGGAAGAAAGAUUCCUUGUCAACGCAGUUGGGAGGAGAAUUGUCUAAAACACUUGACUUUUUGUUUCUGUAUUUGCAUGACUGCUGAUAAAACUGCAUUUCAGAGGUUGCAUUAAGAGAGUGUGGGUUCACUUAGACAAGCACUGAGAUAUUAGCAGAUGCAUGUAGUGAUUCUUUUUCCCCAUGCUGUCUGAAUGUUGGCUUGUUUUGGACUACUCCUCCUCUUGUAUUCUUGUGUUAUCCUUCUCUUCUGUUUUUAAUUUUAUUUUUUUUAUUCCCCCCCCCCAUAACUCCUAUGUCAUAUUCAGUAUGUGGGUGCUUCUGGAUUAGAUGUGACAUGAUAAGGCAGGCAGUUGUUUAAGAUUGGUCCUGCAUUUGUUCUAGAAACUAUGUAUAAGGAAUUAGCUUAGACUAAUAUUGGCAUACAGAAUCAUAAAAUCGUAGCAUGCUUUUGGUUGAUUGAGACCUUAAAGAUCAUCUAGUUCCAACUGCCCUGCCAAGGGCAGGUAUGCCACUUACUAGAUCAGGUUACUCAGAGCCCCAUCCAACCUGGCUUUGAACGCUUCCAGAGAUGGGGCACUCACAAUCUCUCCUUAUUGUAUGCUGUAUCCUUCCUUCUGUUGUAUCCUUCCUUUUGUGUAUCCUUAUUCAUAAUUUGUGUUUCUAAACAUAAGCUGUGGAGAGCAGCAAUGUAACCACUGCAUUCAGAAUGUGCAACUUGGGCCAGUCUGAAGAUUCAUUUUAUGAGCCUACCAGUUUUCUGUUCUUGGAGAUUAUGCCUUUCUUCUUAAAAAACCUAUUUUCCAAGUCAUAGUUUCAGGGGGAAAGGUCAUGUUUGGGCAGGAGGGAAGGGAUUCCUGGAGUGCAAAGUGGAUUGCAUCAGAAAGGAAGGGAAUUAAGGAGUGGAGAAUUUGUAAACGAGGAAAGCAAAGCAGUUGCUUCUUCCCUUCUACUGAAAUUGCUAAAAGGCUUUAGUAGAAACAGAAUCUCGAAAAGGAAACAGCUUUCACUAUCCAUGAAUUAACUCAGCUUAAAACCCACAUGACUUCUGAGGUUGCUCCACACAGGUUUGAUGCCUCUUGCAACCAUCUUUGUUAGUGCAAGUUCUUGGAAUUCAUUGCUUAAAAUCAGGCUGUUGGACUGUGGACUUCUGUAAUUCAUUAUUAUUACCUUACAGUGAGGGAUAAUGACAGUAUUAACUGUUGAGUGGUGAGCCAUGGGAAAGUAAAGACAGUUUAUUCAGAAGAAAAUAACUUCUUAAAACUGUGUGGGUUUACAUGCUUAUAUUACUAUAAAAUCGUUUAGGUUGGAAAAGACUUCUAAAAUUAUGUGGUCCAACCAUUAACCCAGCACUGCCACCAUCACCAAAACAUGUCUUUAAGUGCCACAUCUACACAUCUUUUAAAUACCUCCAGGGAUGGUGAUUCAACCUUUUCCCUGGCUGGCCUGAUCCAGUGCUUUACAACUCUUUCUGUGGAGAAAGUUUUCCAAACAUCCAAUCUAAACCUCCCCUGGUGCAACUUAGGCUGUGUCCUCUCAUCCUAUAGCUUGUUACUUGAGAGGUGAGACCACCCCCCACCUUGCUACAACCUCCUUUCAGGUAGUUGUAGAGACCAAAGAGUUCUCCGCUCAGCCUCCUUUCCAGGCUAAACAACCACAGCCCCCUCAGCUCCUCCCCUCAGCUCCUCCUUAUAAGACUUGUGCUCCAGACCCUUCACCAGCUUUGCUGCUCUUUGGAUGCUCUCUGGCACCUCAGUGUCUUUCUUGUAUGUUAUGCCCAUCUCACCUAUGAAAUUUCUAGCUCAUGAAAAGUAUUGCAGAUCACAUGUUUGGCCUCUUUAUCUUAUGGUGACAGUUUCAUGCUUUCAGGUUUUUUUGGAAAGAACAUUUUGACAGUUGCUUGUAUUGGCAAUGUUACUUUACACCAUUUAAAAUCAGUGUCUUUUUAGAUAUUUUUAGAAACAGGUCAGACAGAUUUGUGAUGCUUUUUUAGAAAAAUUAUGAAUAUAUAAUGUGUGUUGUGUGAAACACAGAGAAAAUGGGAUGACCUCUUUGGCAAUAUUCAGCUUGGAAACUUGUGCUUUAAUGUGAGGUUUAUAAUUUCCUUUGGUAUGAAUGUUCCAUAAAGAAAAGUAAGCUCUUUGUCUUCAUAAACACAUUAAGAAAAGCUUGACUGGAAUCAAGGUAAUUUCAGAUAAAUUACCCCUCUUGGAGUCUGUUCGCUCCUCUGCUGGAAAAAUAUAUAGGUGUCAUCUGUCAAGUACUGUGUUUCUUUUAUAUUAAACACAACUAGGCCUGCUGGGUGGUAAGUGGGAGGCUUAGAGUGGACAGGUUGAGAUUUAUUAUUUCUUUCAGACUGAUGGUUGUUGCUGUGUUUAAUUCAGCAUUCUUGAAUUUUCCAAAGACUUCACAUUUUACUGGAACGAGUAGAAGAUGGUGGAAGUUGUGGGUUUUCUAUAGUUCUAGAAAAUCAGGCCUUCAGUCUCAAGCUAGCACUUAUUAGUAUUUCUGAAUUCUAGUUUUAAUUUUUUAUUAAGUCAGAAAUUAGUAAAAAUUUGUUCUAUAGCUGACCAGUAAAAUGCAACAAAUAAAGCAUUUGCUAACUACCUUGCUGGCGUUAAUAUCCCCCACUUGAGAACUGAGAUUUUUUUCUUUGUUUUCUUUAUUUUUAUAGGGCUGCCUUCCAGUUACAGGUUUCAAGAGUUAUCUGCUUUCCAGAUCUGAAUGGAAUUCUUCUGCAUCAGGACAGUCAGUAACUUAUUCUUGGGAGAUGCAGAAAGUCAUGCUGUAGAUUCUUUUAGAAGUCUAAGGCCUUCUGCAGUUGUAGAUCCUUUUUCCUAUUUAAAUACCUGCCACCAGCUGAUGAAAUCAUACACUUCUGAAACCUUUGCCAAAAUUUGAUUUGUACAGUGUUGGUGGUAGAUAUGUUGAAUGGAGUUGGGAAUGUUAGGAUUUGGCACUGUGUUAAAAAUAGUAUUUUGAAAUAAAUUAUUUGCUGCACUGUAGGAAGGCUUAUUCAGAAACGAGCAUAAUGGGUUGGUGCUAACAUCCAUCUUGUCCAGUACUUUGAUCCUGACAGUUAUGAACAGCAAAGGCUACAGAGGAACUAAUUUUGGGGCUGGUGCCAUAAUCUCCAUUCUAUGUUGGCAAGAAGCCUAUUCUUGGUCUUCUAAAGAUUUGCUGAAGCUCUGAAGCAUAAAGGUUGCUAUCUUUUGAAGAAAAAUAAAACAAUUUUGAUUCCUCUGGUUGCGUUAUGAAAACAUCUGUUCCACAUAUUUGUAGACUCUUGUCUCAGUGACUUUCUAUAGCAGUGAGUUCUACUGACACUAUAUGGUGCUUUUUUUUUUCCUUUAAAAGGAAGUUAUUUUUAUUUUUCUUGACAGGAGGGACAGUUGUUCCUCAUCAGCCCUUUCAGUAUCAUUAUUUAAUUUCUCUGCAGUUAAUCUAAAUAUCUAGUAAGCUGUACUGUUUACAAAAAUUAAAGAGGGUUCUGUGUCCAGUUGAUUAUCAUGACAGACUGUGGGAAAAGCCUGAGUUUAACUGGCUUAAUCUUGUCUUAUGUAGGCAACUUGGGACAAUAGAUCAUUGCAGAAAGUUGUUUUACAGACAUCAUUUAAGCCGCUUAUAUUUUUGCAUACCCUCUUCAAAGUAAAUUUUGGUAAUAGCUGGCAGUAUGCCUUUGAAUCAAAACAUUGACAUUCACUAUUGUCAGUGAAUGUUCUCAGACUGUGUAUGAAUAGCCUGUGUACAUGGCUGAAAUGGUAGCAUCUUUUUACAAAUAAUUUCUGUUUAGAGCCAGUUGUUUCCUACAGAAAGAAAAAAAGGCAUUAUAAUUGUUUUGGUAAGCUAGUGUGCUUUUGCUUUGUCCUAUCUUACUUUUGCAUACAGUUAUCUAAACUACUUUUCAUAGGACUGUUCAGCAGAAAGCAGGUAUCACCUGAUUGAUACUUACAGCUGUUGGACUUCUGUAAGAAAUGUUAUUUUGUUUCUCCUGCAUGAUAUUUACAUUUUUGUGGGUUCGUUUGUUGUGGGGUUUUGUUCAUUUUUUAAUGCAAAGCAAAGCAAGUACUUUGAUUCCAUGCACUUGGUGAAAUGUGUGCUAAACUUGUGCUUUAUUCUUUCUUGUCAGGUUGUCCCUUGCUGUUGUACUUGAAGAGGUGACCAUUUGCUAUUUGUGUUCCUGACUUGUUUGGCUACUUCUGUUUAUUCCUCCCACUGUCAAAGAAUGCAACAAAGUUCUGUGUACACGGAAAGCAAAUGCUACAAGUAAUGCAGCCUGUUGACAGGAAGAUCAGUAAGUGGGAAAUAUGUGAUGAGAUGUUAGGCUCAAUAAAACUAUGAAAUGAA
Neopelma chrysocephalum (saffron-crested tyrant-manakin) is the source of this 5521-nucleotide long non-coding RNA. RefSeq lists it as uncharacterized. The record is from RefSeq and is a predicted model, not a curated record. NCBI's taxonomy places the organism in Eukaryota, Metazoa, Chordata, Aves, Passeriformes, Pipridae. The transcript has 2 exons.